AACGAACGCUGGCGGCAUGCCUAACACAUGCAAGUCGAACGAGACCUUCGGGUCUAGUGGCGCACGGGUGCGUAACGCGUGGGAACCUGCCCUUAGGUUCGGAAUAACUCCCCGAAAGGGGUGCUAAUACCGGAUAAUGUCUUCGGACCAAAGGUUUAUCGCCUUUGGAUGGGCCCGCGUUGGAUUAGCUAGUUGGUAGGGUAAAAGCCUACCAAGGCGACGAUCCAUAGCUGGUCUGAGAGGAUGGGCAGCGACACUGGGACUGGGACACGGCCCAGACUCCUACGGGAGGCAGGAGAGGGGAAUAUUGGAAAAUGGGCGAAAGCCAGAUCGAGCAAUGACGGGUGAGUGAUGAAGGCCUUGGGGUUGUAAAGCUCUUUUACCCGGGAUGAUAAUGACGGUACCGGGAGAAUAAGCACCGGCUAACUCCGUG
This 433-nucleotide ribosomal RNA is filed under the name uncultured bacterium. RNAcentral describes it as "partial 16S ribosomal RNA". It matches the Rfam family "Bacterial small subunit ribosomal RNA", at positions 29 to 507 of the family's 1533-position model. The record is from RNAcentral.